This 497-nucleotide ribosomal RNA is filed under the name uncultured bacterium. RNAcentral describes it as "partial 16S ribosomal RNA". It matches the Rfam family "Bacterial small subunit ribosomal RNA", at positions 28 to 507 of the family's 1533-position model. The record is from RNAcentral.
GAUGAACGCUGGCGGCGUGCCUAAUACAUGCAAGUCGAGCGAACAGACGAGGAGCUUGCUCCUUUGACGUUAGCGGCGGACGGGCGAGUAACACGUGGGUAACCUACUUAUAAGACUGGGAUAACUUCGGGAAACCGGAGCUAAUACCGGAUAAUAUUUCGAACCGCAUGGUUCGAUAGUGAAAGAUGGCUUUGCUAUCACUUAUAGAUGGACCUGCGCCGUAUUAGCUAGUUGGUAAGGUAACGGCUUACCAAGGCAACGAUACGUAGCCGACCUGAGAGGGUGAUCGGCCACACUGGAACUGAGACACGGUCCAGACUCCUACGGGAGGCAGCAGUAGGGAAUCUUCCGCAAUGGGCGAAAGCCUGACGGAGCAACGCCGCGUGAGUGAUGAAGGUCUUCGGAUCGUAAAACUCUGUUAUUAGGGAAGAACAAACGUGUAAGUAACUGUGCACGUCUUGACGGUACCUAAUCAGAAAGCCACGGCUAACUACGUG